Molecule: long non-coding RNA, 2116 nt
Organism: Nyctereutes procyonoides (raccoon dog)
Lineage: Eukaryota; Metazoa; Chordata; Mammalia; Carnivora; Canidae
Exons: 3
Source: RefSeq, a predicted model, not a curated record
CUGAUGGACUAUUUUGUCAAUAUUUUCCUAGUACUUGGGCAGCUAAACUCAGCGGUUUAGCGCUGCCUUCAGCUCAGGGCGUGAUCCCGAGGUUCCGGGAUAGAGUCCUGCACUGGGCUCCCUGCGUGGAGCCUGCUUCUCCCCCUGCCUGUGUCUCUGCCUCUCUCUCUGUGUCUCUCAUGAAUAAAUAAAUAAAAUCUUUAAAAAAUAUUUUUUUUCCCGGUACAGAGAGCUAAAAAACAAAUAACAACAGAACUAAUUUAUAAACCUAGUGACAUGGAUGGAGGCUGUUGUUUUUCCAGGGCACUUUGUGCUUUCUCUUUUGGAGUGAGCUUUCUGGUUUGUAGGAGAAAAGAAUCUCCAGAGAAAGUGGGCAAGCUGUCAGGAAAAUAAGAUGAACACAUGGUACCGAUCCAAAUGGAGAGCCUGUGAGAAGCUGAUGACUGUCCAUGGAAUUCUGGAGACUUUACAAGUCCUCCUCAUGCCUCUGCGUGUAAUUGAAGCUAUAUGAAAAUAUAGUUGAAAUGAGAAGAAAAACAUGGAGAACUUUGAAGAUUCUGGUGUCUUCAAUUGGGGUGGAAUUAUUUCAGCUUCCUCUUGGAUUUUAAUACUCAUUUGACCACAGUGGUGUGCACACAGUUUUAAAAUUUUUUUCGUGCCCCCUAAAAGAUAACCCUCAUUCUGCACAGAAACAUCUUUUGAGUGAUCAUUGAAUAAUGGAUUGAUGGCAAGGUGCUUCGAAUCUUGAGUUCUGCAAGUAAAUUAAUUUGAAAGAGAAUAACAUAAAGCUUCUCUGUUCUUUCUGUGAGAAAGUUUCUCCCAGAUGAUUUUUCAAGAUGAGUAAAAGGAAAAGAGCAUAAUUGUAGCUGUCACUAGAUCAUUUUCUCCUUCGUUUUUUUUGGGUCUAUUCUUACCUGUUCAAAUUGUGUAGACAGCUUUGAUCAUGCUACAAUUGCCAAGCGGUUCACUCAUCUGCCGAAUCCCCCGACUGCCAAAUCACACCGUUCUCUCACCUGAUGACACUGUUCCACACUGUCUGAUGUUCGUCCAAUGCUUUGAACUCUGCUUGCGUUGCCUUCAGAAGAGAACAUGUUCAGAAACCUCCAUGAUGGACAAUAUUGAAUUGUGUCACCAAGUUUUUUGAGUAUAGGAAACAGAACACACAGGGCUUGGUUUUCACCACUCAGAUUUGUAUGUGGAUUCCCAGACAGCUCUCAUGUUCUAAAAUUGCUCUGGUCAUCUCACUCUGCAUUGCCUAGCUCUGCACUUCAAGGCUUCCAGAAGUGUUGGCCUACUUUCCUGGAAGCGAAAAGGAGAUGGUCAUUAUUUAUUAGUUUUCCAUAGGAAGAAGAAGGGUUACCUGUAGUCCACUUUUACUGUGAGUGAUCAUUGGGUGGACUCUUCCUUUUCUGUGCAAGGCGUGCCAGUGUAUUAGUGGGACAACACACAUUUUUUUAAGUAAAACCUUCUGAAGAGGAAGAUGGCGUCUACAUUUCAAGUUCGUAGGUUCAUUAGUUGGUGGUGACAUUGCAGACUCGUACUAGGGAGACACAGCCUUCGCCUUCUGUGUGACACCUGGCAGCCCUUGGGCUGGAUGAAUUUAGCAUUAAUUGAUCUCCAAGGCCAUCGAGUGUGUGCACACCAGCAAUUUUCAAAAUCAAUUACAUGCUGACUUGAGGCACCCAAGCAGAGCGGAGGCGCUAGGAAAACGUUCCCUCCAUUCGCUCCCUGCCACUUGAAAUUUUACUGAGGAGGAAGAUUCAGGGCCUGAGGCGGAAGUGACCAGAUAAAAUCGGGACAGCCAGUUGACAGGUGAAUUUCAGUUACAGGUUCUCUCCUGGCUAGAGGAGGAAUGCGAGAUGGUCUGUGGAAUGACAGGGUAAACUCCUGGUCCCGUGUUCGUCUCCAGAAUCAAACCGUCUGGGAGCACUGCCUGGGAAUCUGCAUUGAGACAAGAACCUUGGUGAUCCUUCUAAGAUUCCGUGUCUUCCUUGAGUGAUGGCAACCGUGUGGCCCAAAGCAAUGCAAAUCCGGAGAAUGUGAGCACGGGCAGCGCUUCCGUGGACACCAGCCAGUGCCCGCGAGUGGACCGCGGUGACGUGAGAGGCAGCAGGUG